RNAcentral lists this transfer RNA (74 nucleotides) under Candidatus Campbellbacteria bacterium RIFOXYC2_FULL_35_25. RNAcentral describes it as "tRNA-Phe". Lineage: Bacteria; Candidatus Campbelliibacteriota. The record is from RNAcentral.
GGCGAGCAGGCAAUAGGAGGGAGAGCAUUCGCCUGAAGAGCGAAGGGUCGGCGGUCCGAGCCCGCCCCUCGACA